Molecule: non-coding RNA, 76 nt
Organism: Xanthomonas fragariae
Lineage: Bacteria; Pseudomonadati; Pseudomonadota; Gammaproteobacteria; Lysobacterales; Lysobacteraceae
Source: Rfam
AUGUACCCCUCGUACACUGCGUUUCCUCUGCGCCGUCCGCACCCACCUGGCGACUGCUCGCUACGUUUUGUUAGCC